This 265-nucleotide ribosomal RNA is filed under the name unidentified marine bacterioplankton. RNAcentral describes it as "partial 16S ribosomal RNA". It matches the Rfam family "Bacterial small subunit ribosomal RNA", at positions 73 to 339 of the family's 1533-position model. The record is from RNAcentral.
AUGGAGCUUGCUCCGGAAGAUCUAGUGGCGAACGGGUGCGUAACACGUGAGAAACCUGUCCUGGACGUCUGGGAUAACAGUUGGAAACGGCUGCUAAUACCGGAUGCCUUCAUUUGACGCAUGGUGUUGAGAAGAUUUAUCGGUUUGGGAGGGUCUCGCGGCCUAUCAGCUUGUUGGAGAGGUAACGGCUCACCAAGGCUUCGACGGGUAGCUGGUCUGAGAGGAUGGUCAGCCACCACUGGAACUGAGACACGGUCCAGACUCC